This 253-nucleotide ribosomal RNA is filed under the name uncultured bacterium. Its description in RNAcentral is "partial 16S ribosomal RNA". It matches the Rfam family "Bacterial small subunit ribosomal RNA", at positions 524 to 776 of the family's 1533-position model. The record is from RNAcentral.
UACGUAGGUGGCAAGCGUUGUCCGGAAUUAUUGGGCGUAAAGCGCGCGCAGGCGGUCUUUUAAGUCUGAUGUGAAAGCCCACGGCUCAACCGUGGAGGGUCAUUGGAAACUGGGGGACUUGAGUGCAGGAGAGAAGAGUGGAAUUCCACGUGUAGCGGUGAAAUGCGUAGAUAUCUGGAGGAACACCGGUGGCGAAGGCGGCGUUCUGGACUGUUUCUGACACUGAAUAACGAAAGCCAGGGGAGCAAACGGG